Long non-coding RNA from Helianthus annuus (common sunflower), 2004 nucleotides. RefSeq lists it as uncharacterized. The record is from RefSeq and is a predicted model, not a curated record. Lineage: Eukaryota; Viridiplantae; Streptophyta; Magnoliopsida; Asterales; Asteraceae. The transcript has 7 exons.
ACUUGAGGUUACCUCUUAUUCAUUCAGAGGUUUUAAACCAUUAAGAUGUAGUAUCUGAAUGGUCAUUAAGAGGCUACAAACAGCCCCUGAAACUUUUAAGUGUUCAUGUGAUUGACUGAUUGGAUUGUUUGUUUGUUUCCACUUCUUAUCCCCACAUCCCCGUACACUCCUCUUUUCAAAUCCAACAUUUUCCCUAUUGCGUUGGUAUAGAGAGGGAGAGAGAGCCGGAAACCAAAGGUACGUGAAGAGGUGGUGACGGUGUUACUGGUUUUGAGUCAUUCUCUUCCUUAUCAUCACCUGAAACAAAAACCUGAACACCGCUCAUUCGUCUCAAGAUCAAGGUAUGUGUAUCUCUAACUCUAAUUUCAUCAGUUUCAUUAUUAGGCAUUCAAAUCUUAUACUAUUGUUUUGUAAACUCUAACCCCAUCGUUAACCCCAAAAUUGAUGCUUCUUUGAUACACCUUAUCUCAGAUUUCCGAUUUCAACCAUACGUGUUUGGUAAGUUUUUUUGUUAGGUUUAUUAUUUUUUAUAUGAUUUGAUUUUUGUUAACCUGACUCAAAAUUAGGGUUUCACUUCCCUAUGAAAUUGAUAUUUUUGGGUUUCUCUUAUUUACGGUAUUUUAAAAGAUUUUCAUUUUUUGAAGAAUUUUCUAAUAUGUUGUCUACUCUUCUGUAUUUUUGUUCUUUUAUAAAAUAUCCUUUUUUUUAAAUUAUGUUUGAUACGGUUUGGAUUUAUGUUCUUAGACUUUAUGGAUUUAAGCAUAAAGUUUAGACUAUAGUGUGUGUUUGGAAUAACUUUGGGCAAGAUUAACUUCACAAACAUCAAAUAACUCUGCACAAAAGUUCAGUAUUAAAGUCAGUGAUGCCGCAUUGGAUUCAUAUUCUGUGCCUGAGGGUGCCGCUAGUGGUUUUAGACGGUUUAUCAUGUCAGAAAGUGGAGUGCUGCAGGUGCACUAUGUGAAGGUGUUGGAGAAAGGUGACACGUAUGAGAUUAUUGAGCGAAGUCUACCCAAGAAGCAAAAUGGGAAGAAAGAUCCAUUUGAAAUUGAGAAGGAGGAGAUGGAUAGAGUGGAUAGCUAUUGGGUAAAUAUGGUCAGGAAAGACAUACCAAAACAUCACAGAUUCUUUAUCGGCUUUCAAAGAAAGCAAUUAACUGACGCGAAGAGGUUUUCUGAGAACAGUCAAAGAGAGAUCACUUAAGUUGAUGAGGGGUGCUUCAGUUCGUACACGAAAACUCGCACGGGAUAUGUUGGUGUUUUGGAAAAGAGUCGAUAAGGAGAUGUCUGAGAUUAGGAAAAGAGAAGAAAAAGAGUUGUCGAAGCUUUGAAACGUGAACAGGAGCUUCGUGAAGCCAAACGGCAACAACAGAGAUUCGAAGUCUAUAUUGUGUGAGUUUUUCAAGGCUGGUCAACGUGCGAAAAUUCAAAUGCAAUUUUUCUCAUGACUUGAAUGUACAAAGGAAGGGUAAAAAGAUUGACAUUUUCAGUGAUAAGCGUGAUGAAGGAACAAUGGAGGACUGGGAUUUGGAGACGGUGGAAAAAGUUGUGGAAUCAAAAGGAAAAGAGUACAACCAGAAUAAAUCAACCGACAUCGUUUGCAAACACUUCCUCGAUGCAGUGGAGAAAAAGCAAUAUGGUUGGUUCUGGGUAUGUCCAAUCGGUAAUAAAGAGUGUCAUUACAGAAACGCUCUCCCUCCCGGAUACAUCUUGAAAUCCCAAAUGAAAGCUCUUUUAGAAGAAGAGGCUAACAAGCUAGCUAUCGAGGAUGAGAUUGAGGAUCAGUUUAAUGAAGAAGAUGGCAAAGUGUGCCAAGGAAGGCAUGAGGGUGGAAGCAAGCAAAUCAGAAAUUUAUGGAACAAAGCAUGAUGCUUUUGUUGACAUGAUUGCCAGUGUAUUUAUUUAAAUAUCUUAUAUGACUUCUUAUAAUGAUUGGCAUUGUGAUUGACUUCUAACUUUUGAUGUCAAAGUUUGACGCUUUGUUUAUGUAAUUACACUUUGUAUUUUA